Long non-coding RNA from Physeter macrocephalus (sperm whale), 1293 nucleotides. RefSeq lists it as uncharacterized. The record is from RefSeq and is a predicted model, not a curated record. Lineage: Eukaryota; Metazoa; Chordata; Mammalia; Artiodactyla; Physeteridae. The transcript has 5 exons.
AAGCUAGGGGGACCCGGCCCUUGAUUGGAAAAACUUGGAGAUUGACAAGAUCUCACGGCCAAUCAGAACCGCAACUCGCCUUAGCGCGAAGGGAUUCCCUGCCUCUUACUUGAGGGCGAUGGGUGGCUCAUAGGCCUCGGGUAGUUCGAAUCGAGGGGACGCGGGUGGUUGGUUCAGCAUCCCCGAGAUGAGAGCGGCAAGAAGAGAGGCAUUUAAUGGGAAAAAAAAGAGGGUCGAGAUGGAGUAGGUGGCAGAAACAGGGAACGAAGGACUUUCCUGAAUGACGUCUGCCACGCACUACCUCGGAGGCGACACGGGACCACGACUGCUCAAUAAUCAUUUGAUGUUCGGACUACCUGGAAUUUUUUUUGCAAAAACUCCUGUAUCUCCUGGCUCCUCUAUUACCUUUUUGGAAGAGGCCUUCAGAGCUAUCUGAGAGGAUGUCUCCUGGGUUUAAACCCUCAGUAACAGAUAGCAAGAGGAAGUACUCGUGUCCGUUGAACUUCAUAUUGAAUCCCCCUCCUUGGAAAAAGCCAUUUUGCAGCUACUUAGAACUCUGAGGCCCCGGGGCACGGCAGAGUCACCAGAUAGAGCCUGCGCACUUGAAUCGCCAAAUAAGGGGAAGCCACAAGAUAACACUGGAUGAAGACCAGCAUUUCAUGGCUCAGGACUCAGUAAAGAACCAACUGCUAAGUCCGACUAAAAUCAGAAGGAAAAAAGUUAAAAACGGGGUUUUCCCACUGGUCUAGCUGUCUUUCAAAAUGUUUCUUUUUUCUUUGUAACGUGUAAUUAAAAUUGUGUUUAUUUCCUGAACUCUUUUAAGAGGUUUGAGUGCAUUUGCUGCAUUUUUGAGAAAAGUACAGCUUGUAUCUUCACUAUCUUGCAUCAUGUGUCCAGCACCACAUUCCACAAGACAAAUAUAACCAAGGCCUCUUAGAGCUUCCAAGAGAUGAAACUGCCGGUGGCAGCUCAUUCACAUUGCUGUAACCGCCACCCUCAUGUGACAGAGCUGUCCCUUGGAUGGACAGCCCAGUUCCACACCCCCUGCCAGAGCUUUCCCACUUGAGGCAGAAAUACAGGACCUGCUAUACAUUCUUGUCUGGUGUGUGGUCACAUGCCCCGAGUCUCCAAAUCAGAAGUUAUUUAUACCAAAUGCUCAAACCAAAAGGAUUACUUAAGCCGUGAUCCUUGAGUCCUUCUCUCAUCUCCCACCUCCAGUAGUACGUACCAUUGGUCCUAUCACCAAAAUAUGUUUUACAAGUGUCCCUUUCUCUCCGUCCCCACUGCCAUCAC